GAGAGAUGGCUCAGUGGUUAAGAGCACUGGCUGCUCUUCCAGAGGACCUGGGUUCAAUUCUCAGCACUCA
This 70-nucleotide transfer RNA is filed under the name Cricetulus griseus (Chinese hamster). It matches the Rfam family "tRNA". Rfam says of the family: Transfer RNA (tRNA) molecules are approximately 80 nucleotides in length. Their secondary structure includes four short double-helical elements and three loops (D, anti-codon, and T loops). Further hydrogen bonds mediate the characteristic L-shaped molecular structure. tRNAs have two regions of fundamental functional importance: the anti-codon, which is responsible for specific mRNA codon recognition, and the 3' end, to which the tRNAs corresponding amino acid is attached (by aminoacyl-tRNA synthetases). tRNAs cope with the degeneracy of the genetic code in two manners: having more than one tRNA (with a specific anti-codon) for a particular amino acid; and 'wobble' base-pairing, i.e. permitting non-standard base-pairing at the 3rd anti-codon position. Lineage: Eukaryota; Metazoa; Chordata; Mammalia; Rodentia; Cricetidae. The record is from Rfam by way of RNAcentral.